RNAcentral lists this ribosomal RNA (301 nucleotides) under uncultured bacterium. RNAcentral describes it as "partial 16S ribosomal RNA". It matches the Rfam family "Bacterial small subunit ribosomal RNA", at positions 509 to 807 of the family's 1533-position model. The record is from RNAcentral.
CAGCCGCCGCGGUAAUACGGAGGGGGCUAGCGUUGUUCGGAAUUACUGGGCGUAAAGCGUACGUAGGCGGCUUUGUAAGUUAGAGGUGAAAGCCUGGUGCUCAACACCAGAACUGCCUUUAAGACUGCAUCGCUUGAACGUCGGAGAGGUGAGUGGAAUUCCGAGUGUAGAGGUGAAAUUCGUAGAUAUUCGGAAGAACACCAGUGGCGAAGGCGGCUCACUGGACGACUGUUGACGCUGAGGUACGAAAGCGUGGGGAGCAAACAGGAUUAGAUACCCCCGUAGUCCCUGUCUCUUAUAC